Molecule: non-coding RNA, 1492 nt
Organism: Chelonoidis abingdonii (Abingdon island giant tortoise)
Lineage: Eukaryota; Metazoa; Chordata; Testudines; Testudinidae
Source: RefSeq, a predicted model, not a curated record
CUUCUCUCUGGGCUGAACUUCAGAUCAAGAGGAAUUAGGGGGAGAGCGGUAAAAAUCAAUGAGAUAGAGAUGGCAAAAUCAGUUCUUGUUAAGAUGGACAGCUGGAGCCAAGAUUUCCUGCAAGACAUAGAGAAGAUGGGGAAAAAGUAAUCUCUUUUCCUCUAGAAACUUUUGGCAGAGAAUCAGCUGGAUAAGGAGAGACAAGUCUUCUUCUCUGACCUGAGGAAGGAAUUUGAGAAACGGACUGACUUCUCCAAACUGAGCAUGAAAGCAAGUACGGGAGAAGGGCAGGAAGAAAGGACAGACAAGAAAAGAGGAGGGGACUCAAGGAGUCUGGUCCCUUAUUGCAUCUCCACCCUUUGCUUUGUCUCUUUGUCCUUAAAUUGUUUUCUCUUCCCCCAUCGCCAUGGCUAGUUAAAAUGCGUUAGGGUCAAAUUGCUUCCCUUCCAGCCCUUACAUGAGUAUGGGGGGGCGAGGGGGGGUCAGAAGGAGCCUAUUUAAGAGGCUGGCACAACUGUAGUCCCUGCAAAUGGGGGAGUGUUCCCUCCAUAUUCCUCAGGGAUGCACAGAAAGAAGGGCUGGAGCAGUGUCAUGCCCCAUCCCGCAUCCCUCCUCUGCACCCCCCAUUUCCUCCUCUGCACCCUCUGGCCAUGCAGGCUGGGGUUUGCUGCAGCCCCUGAAAGGGUGUAGAAGUAGGUGCACUUCCCCUGACCACCAUUACUCCUGGGGAAAUUCUGCGCAUCUGCGAACGCACAGAAUGCUACUGUCCCGAAUAAUUGUGUAUUUUCCCGCCUAAUAGACAUUUUGCCCACGAAGUGCUGCAUUUCCACCCUUUGCCCACCAGAGGCCGCUAUGGCACCAGAACAGCCGGCUGCAUGAAAGCAGCCAGCUGGUCUGGUGCACAACGGCCUCUGGUGGGCAAAAGGAGGAACUGCAGUACUUCGGGGCAGAAUGUAUUUUCUGUGGGGAAAAAAAAUGCUAUGUCCAGUUCUGCAGAAUUCCCCCAGGAGUUCACCACAGCACCCUGCCCGCAGAGCCACUCUAGGACAGAGUGGGCCACACAGGGCUGCUGAGGGGUCACACAUUUGGGUUCAGAAUGGUUGGAGUGGUGCAGACUGAGGCAUGGGCUCAGGAGCUAGUGGGGUGACAACGCUGACGCUGGAGAUGGCGAGGGGAGGGUGUCUGCAGAGACCCAUGGCUAUGGGGAGUGUGGGGACAGGGCAGAUGUGCUUGACUGAAUGGGAGAGGCUUGGGGUCAACCAGGGUCUGCAUGAGGGGGCUUCCCAACUCCCUAACAAUACCAUCCCCCCAAAAAACACUUUCUCCCACCCAACACCUCCAAGUUCAUUCCUAGGCUCCUUUCCCCUCCCUCAGCUCCUCCGUUACCCCUUACUUCCCCAGCCUUUGCACUACCUCUGACAGGUGCAGGAAAUAUAGUUAUGUAUUUUAAUUUAAAUGAAUUAUUCAAAGUUCUACAUAACAUGCCUAAUAA